Long non-coding RNA from Melospiza georgiana, 605 nucleotides. RefSeq lists it as uncharacterized. NCBI's taxonomy places the organism in Eukaryota, Metazoa, Chordata, Aves, Passeriformes, Passerellidae. The record is from RefSeq and is a predicted model, not a curated record. The transcript is spliced from 5 exons.
AGUGUAGCCGACAUUGGCCGCGUUUAGACAAAGAGCCGAAUAUGACCGAGUUUAGCCCAACCGGGCCGAGUUCAGCCGAAGAGCCGGAAAAGCCGAAUUUAGACGAAAAGCCGAACCGAAACGAUUUUAGACCUAAGCCGAACCAAGCCUAAUUUAGCUGAGUUUAUUUAAACGGAACCGAACGACGCCGCAGCGCUCUGCCUGCAGAGCGCCGGUGCAGACGGCAGGGGGCGGUGUAUAAAGGUACUGAGAAAAUCCGUCUCCCUUAGAGUCCCACGGAAAGGUUCUCAGUGCGCUCUCUAUCAAGUGCUAUGAGUCUUGAUAGAUUGGAGAAGAGCCCAAGAGAAAUUUUUCAUCCCUUGAUAUAAAAGGGAUCGGUGAAUUUUAACUUUGGAGUCCUCUGUGCUAAGGAUGCUCAGCUUACCGAUGAUGAAAUGUUCAGUAAUGUAUUUGCUGCAGCUCUGCUUACCCAAGCUUUGGGUUCCUUCUGUCCCACUGGGAGUUGCCCAAUUUGGUUGCAUCUGGUGAAAUUCACCCUGAGACCUUACAGAACCAGCUCCAACUACGUGAGAGCCAUUUGCAGUUCUCUCCAGACACCUGGAGAA